RNAcentral lists this ribosomal RNA (264 nucleotides) under uncultured bacterium. Its description in RNAcentral is "partial 16S ribosomal RNA". It matches the Rfam family "Bacterial small subunit ribosomal RNA", at positions 98 to 353 of the family's 1533-position model. The record is from RNAcentral.
CGGAACGGGUGAGUAACACGUAGACAACCUGCCCCCUGGCCCGGGACAACCUCUGGAAACGGAGGCUGAUACCGGACGGGCAGGAGAGGGGCAUCCCUCUCCUGUGAAAGGCCCUGCAAGGGGCCGCGAGGGGAUGGGUCUGCGGUGCAUUAGCUAGUUGGCGGGGCAGCGGCCCACCAAGGCGACGAUGCAUAGCCGGCCUGAGAGGGCGGACGGCCACAUUGGGACUGAGACACGGCCCAGACUCCUACGGGAGGCAGCAUG